This 704-nucleotide ribosomal RNA is filed under the name uncultured archaeon. RNAcentral describes it as "bacterial SSU rRNA". It matches the Rfam family "Archaeal small subunit ribosomal RNA", at positions 755 to 1458 of the family's 1478-position model. The record is from RNAcentral.
AAACGAUACUCGUUAGGUUUGGCCCACGGUGCGGCCGUGGUCGGUGCCGUAGGGAAGCCGUGAAGCGAGCCACCUGGGAAAGUACGGCCGCAAGGCUGAAACUUAAAGGAAUUGGCGGGGGAGCACUACAACGGGUGGAGCCUGCGGUUUAAUUGGAUUCAACGCCGGAAAUCUCACCGGGGGCGACAGCAUGAUGAAGGCCAGGCUGAAGACCUUGCCUGAUCCGCUGAGAGGUGGUGCAUGGCCGUCGUCAGUUCGUACUGUGAAGCAUCCUGUUAAGUCAGGCGACGAGCGAGACCCACGCCCACAGUUGCCAGCGAGCCCUUCGGGGUGGCGGGUACUCUGUGGGGACCGCCGCUGCUAAAGCGGAGGAAGGAAUGGGCAACGGUAGGUCAGUAUGCCCCGAAUCUCCCGGGCUACACGCGGGCUACAAUGGUCGGUACAAUGGGUAUCUACCCCGAGAGGGGAUGGAAAUCUCCUAAAACCGGUCGUAGUUCGGAUUGAGGGCUGCAACUCGCCCUCAUGAAGCUGGAAUCCGUAGUAAUCGCGUUUCAACAGAACGCGGUGAAUACGUCCCUGCCCCUUGCACACACCGCCCGUCAAACCACCCGAGUAGGGUCUGGAUAAGGGUGCGCCAUGUUGACGCAUUCGAAUCUGGGCUUUGCAAGGGGGGUUAAGUCGUAACAAGGUAACCAAGGGCGAAU